CUAUGAAUGGUGCCUAUAGAUCGUGUGACUGUUCCUGUGGAUUGCGCCUUGAUUUUGUGAACCAACUGGCCGGUCCACCAUGCACCGAAGAUAAUAAAAAUUAUUUUUAAGGAUAUUUUGACUCGAUUUUUGCUUUGAUUUUUGCCUGAAAAAUUAGAAAAAAAUAUGCAUUAAAUUUUUCAAAAUUUUUUCAUUAUUUUAAUGCUU
This 207-nucleotide long non-coding RNA is filed under the name Elaeis guineensis (African oil palm). RNAcentral describes it as "long non-coding RNA (EGUI_LNC041692)". The record is from RNAcentral. Lineage: Eukaryota; Viridiplantae; Streptophyta; Magnoliopsida; Arecales; Arecaceae.